Long non-coding RNA from Coregonus clupeaformis (lake whitefish), 691 nucleotides. RefSeq lists it as uncharacterized. The transcript has 3 exons. NCBI's taxonomy places the organism in Eukaryota, Metazoa, Chordata, Actinopteri, Salmoniformes, Salmonidae. The record is from RefSeq and is a predicted model, not a curated record.
GUGGGAUUAACGUGCGGUCGAGCAUCAGGCAUGUUCAAGGGAGAGAAGGAAGACACUGGCGACGGAAGAGAAGGAAGAGAGACAGAUCGUUGAAGGAGAGAGAGACGGUGUUGAGUUGAACCUCAGAAAACACGGUGAAUAACAGGAGAAUAAAACGAGCUGAGGAUCUACCUACCUGAACAAGGUGCUCCAUAUUGAAAAGGCACCUGUCAUCUUCGAUCAUGUCUAAGGACCAGUGUGAAUCCGUAGCAGUGAGUGUCGAGUCCCUUUUAACCGACGCAGUUAAGAUGCAGUCCCAGUGUCGGGAGCGUAGUGAGCAGCUAGCUAUGGCCGCCGCGGCACUGAGGGAGGAGUCGGCGUGCUUGAGAGAACAGUGUCAAGCCACCCAGCUGGAUAUGGCCCGGAUGAGAAGACAGCUAGAAGAACUGCUGGAUACCAAGGCUCAGAUGGAGGCCAGUGAUAGAAUGCACCGCAAACUCAGCAAGACACUCUGAAUGAAAGAGAAGGAAGGGGGGAGAGAAAGGAAAGGGUGGACCGGGAUGGAGGGCGAGGAAAGGGAGAGAGAGAGAAGGAGAGAGAGAAGAAAAGAACAGCUGGAUACCAAGGCUGCGAUGGAGGCCCGGGGUGAACACACACACUUCUGAUAUGGAAAUAAGACUUUGCAGUUAAAUAAAUAAUUAUUUUAACAACA